GACGAACGCUGGCGGCGUGCCUAAUACAUGCAAGUCGAACGCACUCGGCCUUCGGGCCACAUGAGUGAGUGGCGAACGGGUGAGUAACACGUGAGGAACCUACCCCGAAGACGGGAAUAACCCGGGGAAACCCGGGCUAAUACCCGAUACCUUCCAUCGGUCGCAUGGCCGGUGGAAGAAAUGUUCCGGCGCUUCGGGAUGGCCUCGCGGCCUAUCAGCUAGUUGGUGAGGUAACGGCUCACCAAGCCAUUGACGCGUAGCUGGUGUGAGAGCACGACCAGCCAGAAUGGAACUGAGACACGGUCCAUACUCCUACGGGAGGCAGCAGUGAGGAAUCUUCCGCAAUGGGCGCAAGCCUGACGGAGCCAUACCGCGUGCAGGAUGAAACCCCUCGGGGCGUAAACUGCUUUUCUGAAGGACAAAGUUCUGAUGGUACUUCAGGAAUAAGUGUCUGCUAACUACGUGCCAGCAGCCGCGGUAAUACGUAGGACACAAGCGUUAUUCGGAAUUACUGGGCGUAAAGCGAUCGAAGGCUGACCAGAAAGUUGAUUAUUAAAUACCCACGGCUUAACCGGGGUGCUGUAAUCAAAACUCCUGGACUAGAGGAGUGCAGAGGUAGCUGGAAUUCCUAUUGUAGGGGUUAAAUCCGUAGAUAAUAGGAGGAACACCGAAAGCGAAGGCAGGCUACUGGGCACUUCCUGACGCUGCGCGAUCGAAAGCGUGGGGAGCGAAACGGAUUAGAUACCCGUGUAGUCCACGCCUUAAAC
RNAcentral lists this ribosomal RNA (767 nucleotides) under uncultured bacterium. Its description in RNAcentral is "bacterial SSU rRNA". It matches the Rfam family "Bacterial small subunit ribosomal RNA", at positions 28 to 807 of the family's 1533-position model. The record is from RNAcentral.